AUUGAACGCUGGCGGCAUGCCUAACACAUGCAAGUCGAACGAGUGGCGGACGGGUGAGUAAUGUCGGGGAAACUGCCUGAUGGAGGGGGCUCACUACUGGAAACGGUAGCUAAUACCGCAUACCAUCAGAUGUGCCCAGAUGGGAUUAGGUUGUUGGUGGGGUAACGGCUCACCAAGGCGAAGAUCCCUAGCUGGUCUGAGAGGAUGACCAGCCACACUGGAACUGAGACACGGCCCAGACUCCUACGGGAGGCAGCAGUGGGGAAUUGUGCACAAUGGGCGAAAGCCUGAUGCAGCCAUGCCGCGUGUAUGAAGAAGGCCUUCGGGUUGUAAAGUACUUGUAGCGGGGAGGCGUUACCCGCAGAAUAAGCAACGGCUAACUCCGUGCCAGCAGCCGCGGUAAUUC
RNAcentral lists this ribosomal RNA (406 nucleotides) under uncultured bacterium. Its description in RNAcentral is "partial 16S ribosomal RNA". It matches the Rfam family "Bacterial small subunit ribosomal RNA", at positions 30 to 526 of the family's 1533-position model. The record is from RNAcentral.